RNAcentral lists this long non-coding RNA (368 nucleotides) under Homo sapiens (human). RNAcentral's name for it is "HSALNT0252366". Lineage: Eukaryota; Metazoa; Chordata; Mammalia; Primates; Hominidae. The record is from RNAcentral.
GGUGUGCCUCGGCUGCCACCUCCUGGUGACUAAUUCUAGUGGACGUGGAGAGCGAACCACAGCCUCAACAACACCUAAUUCUAAUUACAGCUGGUGAUCGGGACUCCGAGCCCUGUAUUUCUCCGUCUGACUCAGCUCCUAGACCACACGGGAGCCUCUGCUCUUUUCCCGACAUCUCCGGAUUUCAGCAUCUGGCUCAGCUUCCUGGUCAUCGGUACCUGCACCAUCAUCUGUCCACACAUCUGCAGCUUUCAGUUCCUCCUAGAUGCCCGGCUAACCCCCAACCCACAAGAUUCUACACCCGCUCGAAUCUAGGCACUUUUACUGCCACUUAACUAUGGCCACGCACUCUGUGAUCCCAUAUGAAC